AUAAUGAUACUCCCGUCUUGAACGCGUCACGGCAUUGGGCGGCUGCAUGAGAACCAUGCAGGGGUGAGAUUCCCGUG
Molecule: non-coding RNA, 77 nt
Filed under: human gut metagenome
Description: pemK RNA
Rfam family: pemK RNA
Source: RNAcentral